AGGGGUAUAGCUCAGUGGUAGAGUAUACACUUAGCAUGUGUGAGGUCCUGGGUUCAAUUCCCAGUACCUCCA
Molecule: transfer RNA, 72 nt
Filed under: Camelus bactrianus (Bactrian camel)
Lineage: Eukaryota; Metazoa; Chordata; Mammalia; Artiodactyla; Camelidae
Also listed under: 2 other names
Rfam family: tRNA
About the family: Transfer RNA (tRNA) molecules are approximately 80 nucleotides in length.
Source: Rfam by way of RNAcentral